UACGAAGGGGGCUAGCGUUGUUCGGAUUCAUUGGGCGUAAAGGGUGCGUAGGUGGCGGGGCAAGUCUGGUGUGAAAUCCCGGGGCUCAACCCUGGAACUGCACUGGAUACUGCUUUGCUAGAGUACUGGAGAGGGAACUGGAAUUUACGGUGUAGCAGUGAAAUGCGUAGAUAUCGUAAGGAAGACCAGUGGCGAAGGCGAGUUCCUGGACAGUUACUGACACUGAGGCACGAAGGCCAGGGGAGCAAACGGG
RNAcentral lists this ribosomal RNA (253 nucleotides) under uncultured bacterium. RNAcentral's name for it is "partial 16S ribosomal RNA". It matches the Rfam family "Bacterial small subunit ribosomal RNA", at positions 524 to 776 of the family's 1533-position model. The record is from RNAcentral.